Molecule: ribosomal RNA, 399 nt
Filed under: uncultured bacterium
Lineage: Bacteria
Description: bacterial SSU rRNA
Rfam family: Bacterial small subunit ribosomal RNA
Source: RNAcentral
ACUCCUACGGGAGGCAGCAGUGGGGAAUAUUGCACAAUGGGGGAAACCCUGAUGCAGCCAUGCCGCGUGUGUGAAGAAGGCCUUCGGUUGUAAAGCACUUUCAGUAGGGAGGAAGGUAGUGUAGUUAACACCUGCAUUAUUUGUACGUUACCUACAGAAGAAGCACCGGCUAACUCCGUGCCAGCAGCCGCGGUAAGUACGGAGGGUGCGAGCGUUAAUCGGAAUUACGUGGGACGUAAAGCGCAUGCAGGCGGCCUGUUAAGUCAGAUGUGAAACGCCCGGGGUACGUUAACCUCGGAAUUGCUAUUUAGAAACUGGCAGGCUAGAGUCUUGUAGGAGGGGUAGUAAUUUCGAGGUGUAGCGGUAGAAAUGCGUAGAGAUCGUGAAGGAAUACCAGGU